AGAGGUAGGCGGAAUUCCCGGUGUAGCGGUGGAAUGCGUAGAUAUCGGGAGGAACACCAGUGGCGAAGGCGGCCUACUGGGCACCAACUGACGCUGAGGCUCGAAAGUGUGGGUAGCAAACAGGAUUAGAUACCCUGGUAGUCCACACCGUAAACGAUGAUUACUAGGUGUUGGAGGAUUGACCCCUUCAGUGCCGCAGUUAACACAAUAAGUAAUCCACCUGGGGAGUACGACCGCAAGGUUGAAACUCAAAGGAAUUGACGGGGGCCCGCACAAGCAGUGGAGUAUGUGGUUUAAUUCGACGCAACGCGAAGAACCUUACCAAGUCUUGACAUCCCUUGACGAUGCUGGAAACAGUAUUUCUCUUCGGAGCAAGGAGACAGGUGGUGCAUGGUUGUCGUCAGCUCGUGUCGUGAGAUGUUGGGUUAAGUCCCGCAACGAGCGCAACCCUUAUGGUCAGUUACUACGCAAGAGGACUCUGGCCAGACUGCCGUUGACAAAACGGAGGAAGGUGGGGAUGACGUCAAAUCAUCAUGCCCUUUAUGACUUGGGCUACACACGUACUACAAUGGCGUUAAACAAAGAGAAGCAAGACCGCGAGGUGGAGCAAAACUCAGAAACAACGUCCCAGUUCGGACUGCAGGCUGCAACUCGCCUGCACGAAGUCGGAAUUGCUAGUAAUCGUGGAUCAGCAUGCCACGGUGAAUACGUUCCCGGGCCUUGUACACACCGCCCGUCACACCAUGAGAGCCGGGGGGACCCGAAGUCGGUAGUCUAACCGCAAGGAGGACGCCGCCGAAGGUAAAACUGGUGAUUGGGGUGAAGUCGUAACAAGGUAGCCGUAGGAGAACCUGCGGCUGGAUCACCUCCUUU
RNAcentral lists this ribosomal RNA (873 nucleotides) under human gut metagenome. RNAcentral describes it as "bacterial SSU rRNA". It matches the Rfam family "Bacterial small subunit ribosomal RNA", at positions 653 to 1533 of the family's 1533-position model. The record is from RNAcentral.